CCUUUAUAUUAGCUGUCAGUAUUCUUACACAUGCAAAUAUCCGUAGUCCAGUGAGUCAUGCCCAAGAUUUCCUUAUUCAAAGAAAUAAAGGAGCAGGGAUCAAGUACACUAAUUUAUUAGUAGCUGAAAACACCACGUCUAACCACACCCCCACGGGAUACAGCAGUGAUAAAAAUUAAGCAAUGAACGAAAGUUUGACUAAGUAAUACUGAAUUAGGGUUGGUAAAUUUCGUGCCAGCCACCGCGGUCAUACGAAUAACCCUAGUUAAUAUACCACGGCGUAAAGAGUGCUAAAACUAUCCGUCUAAAUAGAAUUAAAGCCUAAUUCAGCUGUAAAAAGCAUAAAUUAAAGCGAAAGCCAAUGACGAAAGUAAUCUUAUUGAGUUGCAGCACUAAAGCUAUAAAACAAACUGGGAUUAGAUACCCCACUAUGUAUAGCCAUAAACAUAAAUAAAUUUACAACAAAUUUAUUCGCCUGAGAACUACAAGCAAUCGCUAGAAACUCAAAGGACUUGGCGGUGCUUUAUAUCCACCUAGAGGAGCCUGUUCCAUAAUCGAUAAACCCCGAUCCACCUUACCACUUCUUGCUAAUUCAGCCUAUAUACCGCCAUCCUCAGCUAACCCUAAAAAGGAGUACUAGUAAGCACAAUCAUUAUAAAUUAAUAAAAAAGUUAGGUCAAGGUGUAGCCAAUGAAGUGGAGAGUAAUGGGCUACAUUUUCUGAAAACAGAAUAUCACGGAAUUCCCUCUGAAACACAGGGAAUGAAGGAGGAUUUAGUAGUAAAUUGAAAAUAGAGUGUUCAAUUGAAUAGAGCAAUGAAGCACGUACACA
This is a non-coding RNA of 831 nucleotides. It matches the Rfam family "Bacterial small subunit ribosomal RNA", at positions 23 to 1389 of the family's 1533-position model.